CCAUUCUAAAUGUUAUCAUUAUUUUUGCUGAGGGGGAGGGGCCUGCAGUCGAGUCCUGCACGUGCAUGACGUGCAAGUAAGUGAUGCGGCGAAUAUCUAAGCAGUUGAUCAGCUCUCGGCAUAAUUCAGAAUGAGGUUGCGCUGGGGCAUCUGCACCGCUGGGCAUAUCAGCAAUGACUUUGUGGUGGCACUCAGCACUCUCCCCUCUGAGGACCACACGGUGGCUGCCGUGGCUGCCAGGUCCGAAGAGAAAGCCAAGCACUUUGCCGACAAGCACAAGAUUCCGGUGGCCUACGGGGGGUAUGAGGCCCUUGCUGCAGAUGGUAGUGUUGAUAUUGUCUACAUUGGUGCAUUGAACCAUGUCCAUCUACCCCUAUGCAAGCUGUUCCUGGGCAAGGGCAAGAACGUUCUCUGUGAGAAGCCCCUUGGUCUGAACAGGAGAGAGGUCCAAGAAAUGAUUGACCUGGCCAAGGAGAAGAACGUCUUCUUCAUGGAGGGUUGGUGGAGCCGUUUCUUCCCAGCAACUGUCAAACUGCGUGAGAUCCUAGCUGCUGGUCUUAUUGGCGACGUAAAGGUUUUCAAUGCAUCGUUUGGCUUGCCAAUAAGUUCUGUUGAAAGAAUAGCAAAUAAAGAUGUUGGAGGCGGAGGUCUGUUGGACUUGGGCAUCUAUCCUGUGCAGGAAGCCCUCAUGGUAUUUGGAGAGGCUCCGUUAUCAUGCAAGACUACCGGCACCUUAACAGAUUCAGGUGUGGAUGAGACAACUGCUACUACAUUGUUGUUUCCCAACAAGGCUGUCGCAACACUGAGCACAAGCACCGUGGUGAAACUCCCCAAUGAAGCGGAGAUAAGAGGAACCAAAGGUCAAAUCAAGGUGCCUUGCCCGUUUUGGUGCCCUACAAAACUUGAGGUGACAACCUCCAUUGGAGAGGCUGAUCUGAAGACCGAGCUGUACGAGUUUCCCCUGCCAAAGGCUGACAAUAGCUUCCUCCACGUCAAUAGUGCUGGCUUCCGAUAUGAGGCAGAGUGUGUGCGACAGUGUCUUAUGAAAGGUCUGAAAGAGUGUCCAACUGCAUGCCUAGAAGAGAGUUUGCAGGCGGCCGAGAUCCUGGGCAGUGCCCGGCGUGAUGUGGGCUAUAAAAUACCUGCAGAUGACCUUUGACCUCUAACUCUAAAGGUCAUACCCCCCUUCAUAACCCUAUACCUAGGAAGCAACAGCAAUCAAACUUGGGAAAGCGCCUGUGCACGGCCAACCUCAUCCACAGGGUGUGAGCAUGAACGGGCCCACUACCUGCUCGAUCUCACCC
Molecule: unclassified non-coding RNA, 1304 nt
Filed under: Patiria miniata (bat star)
Lineage: Eukaryota; Metazoa; Echinodermata; Asteroidea; Valvatida; Asterinidae
Description: trans-1,2-dihydrobenzene-1,2-diol dehydrogenase-like, transcript variant X2
Source: RNAcentral